AGAGAUGGGAAAGAAGGGUCAGGAACUUGAACAGAAAUCCAGCCCUCAGUACAUUGCAAGACGAGGCCUCACUAUGUUGCCCAGGCUGAUCUUGAACUCCUGGGUUCAAGAGAUCCACCCAUUUCAGCCUCCCAAAGCGCUGGGAUUACAGGUGUGAGCCACCGUGCCCAGCCCUGAUGCAUUUUCUGAAAGCUCUUCAGAAGCAAGUAAAUUGCUAAAGUAUUGCGCCUCCUAAAACGUUCAUGGAAAGGAUAGAAAGGACCCUGACAUCAUUUGCACUAGAAACCCUGAGACAAAGUCAGAAAGAUCUGGAAAGACCUGCCAGAGGAAAUCUGCCACCCCUCUGGACUAGGAGACUUCAUCUACAUAAAAGUGGGCUGUCACCAUGCUGGGAGGGACCCUUUAAAGUGCUGCCGAUGACCCAUAAGGCUAUCAGUGCAAAAGGCAAACUGCUGAAUCCAGGCUUCCUAUGUGAAGCUAGCACCACAGGACAGCUAGACUGUGCUUUCUAAAAAGGACCUAAAACUGAAGUUUUCUACUCAACUGAAAAGAAGUAUUCUAGAAAAUGUAUUACUAUUCCUAUAGGCUGCCUGGCUGUUCUGUUCAUGACGGUGGUUAUUCCAAUUACUUUAAGAAUUAUAUUUAUUAGAAAACAAA
RNAcentral lists this long non-coding RNA (657 nucleotides) under Pongo abelii (Sumatran orangutan). RNAcentral describes it as "lincRNA". The record is from RNAcentral. Lineage: Eukaryota; Metazoa; Chordata; Mammalia; Primates; Hominidae.